GCCCGGUUGGCUCAGUCAGUUCAGUGUCUGACUUUGGCUCAGGUCAUGAUUUCAUGGCUCAGUUCAUGGGUUCGAGCCCCACAUCGGGCU
RNAcentral lists this transfer RNA (90 nucleotides) under Felis catus (domestic cat). It matches the Rfam family "tRNA". From Rfam's summary of the family: Transfer RNA (tRNA) molecules are approximately 80 nucleotides in length. Their secondary structure includes four short double-helical elements and three loops (D, anti-codon, and T loops). The record is from Rfam by way of RNAcentral. Lineage: Eukaryota; Metazoa; Chordata; Mammalia; Carnivora; Felidae.